Molecule: transfer RNA, 72 nt
Organism: Thelohanellus kitauei
Lineage: Eukaryota; Metazoa; Cnidaria; Myxozoa; Bivalvulida; Myxobolidae
Rfam family: tRNA
About the family: Transfer RNA (tRNA) molecules are approximately 80 nucleotides in length. Their secondary structure includes four short double-helical elements and three loops (D, anti-codon, and T loops). Further hydrogen bonds mediate the characteristic L-shaped molecular structure. tRNAs have two regions of fundamental functional importance: the anti-codon, which is responsible for specific mRNA codon recognition, and the 3' end, to which the tRNAs corresponding amino acid is attached (by aminoacyl-tRNA synthetases). tRNAs cope with the degeneracy of the genetic code in two manners: having more than one tRNA (with a specific anti-codon) for a particular amino acid; and 'wobble' base-pairing, i.e. permitting non-standard base-pairing at the 3rd anti-codon position.
Source: Rfam
UCCCAGUUAGUAUAGCGGUAAGUAUCCCUGCCUGUCACGCAGGAGACCGGGGUUCGAUUCCCCGACUGGGAG